RNAcentral lists this ribosomal RNA (429 nucleotides) under uncultured Alteromonadales bacterium. RNAcentral describes it as "bacterial SSU rRNA". It matches the Rfam family "Bacterial small subunit ribosomal RNA", at positions 355 to 776 of the family's 1533-position model. The record is from RNAcentral. Lineage: Bacteria; Pseudomonadati; Pseudomonadota; Gammaproteobacteria; Alteromonadales.
UGGGGAAUAUUGCGCAAUGGGCGAAAGCCUGACGCAGCCAUGCCGCGUGUGUGAAGAAGGCCUUCGGGUUGUAAAGCACUUUCAGUGGGGAGGAAAGGCUCAGGGCUAAUACCCCUGGGAGUUGACGCUACCCACAGAAGAAGCACCGGCUAAUUCCGUGCCAGCAGCCGCGGUAAUACGGAAGGUGCAAGCGUUAAUCGGAAUUACUGGGCGUAAAGCGCGCGUAGGCGGCUUGGUAAGUCGGGUGUGAAAGCCCCGGGCUCAACCUGGGAACUGCACUCGAUACUGCCGGGCUGGAGUACGAGAGAGGGGGGUGGAAUUCCAGGUGUAGCGGUGAAAUGCGUAGAGAUCUGGAGGAACAUCGGUGGCGAAGGCGGCCCCCUGGUUCGAUACUGACGCUGAGGUGCGAAAGCGUGGGGAGCAAACAGG